UGGUGGUGUGACCACAGAUUUAUAUGUCUGGAUUAAGUUGAUAGGCCUGCUGUGUUUCAGGCGUGGUGUUCUUCCUUCAAUAUAUUGGCAGAUGCUUGCUUCUGUUAAUUAAAGCUUCAAUCUUAGGAGGUACUGCCCUGUGCUUGAAUGCAGUUGUCUUUGUUUAGACAGCAGCCGAGCCCAGUCAACAAUUAUUAGUAGUAGUUACGAGAUAAGGUAGAGGAGGCAUAUAGGGCCAGCCGUCGUAUAUGCAAUGCAUGAAAGUCGUUGUUGAUUCCAUUCAAGUAACGAAUAAAUAGUAGUUGCUAAUUCUAUUCAUAGUGAUUACAACCAUAGGUAAAUGUAUGCUUCUAACUUUCAUAUGCAUGCUUCCCAGUGUACAUACGUGCGAGUUCAUCUUCGCCCUAGAUGCCUGUGGCUUCUCUCUUUUGGUGCAGUUUACAAAUAGAAUGCUAAGGCAAGUUUAAUUUCUAAUGUGCAUGUAAAUCCUUGAGAUUUUUGGUGUUUAUGAAGAUCCAAUAAACAAAGAGUUGAAUGAUAUGAAAGGGGAAAUAGACAGAAGAGUGAAAAAUAUGUGGUUGCAGUGCUGAUGAAUUUUAGGAUCUGAAGCUACUGCUUAUGGAUACCAAUAUUACAUUAGCAUUUGGUAUUUAGAUCUGCUUGUUUUUACCUCUUUGCCUAUAAGCUCUAUAGAGAAACAUUUAUUCUCUGUUUGGACUUUGAUUUCUGAAUUUGGUUCCUUGCUGAAGAAAUAGCUGAAGCUUUGCUUUCUUAAAAAAAGUAAAGCUUUGCUGCUGCACACUAUUUUCUUGCCUUUCCUUGGAGAUGAUUAUACAGAUUAGUUGCCAGCUUUAUCUCUCUACGAUUUGUGCCUCGGUUGCCAGGUUAUCUCAUAUGAAGCCAUGAACUGAACCUAACAUUAACUAGAAAUAUAAACCAUUGUAUAUGAAGAUACUAUCUGAGUACGUACUUGCAUGUUCUUUAGAUCUACUACAUAUGAUUUAUUACGUAUAAAUAUGCCAUGUAAGUAUCUACUUUUAGAUCAUUAUUGCUCGCACAUAAAAUGGUUCCAGUAUCUGGUUUGAUUUUGUUUUUAUGUGUGCACAGAUCCUGUCAUGGAGAUGGUUGACAUUACGGACAAGUUCAUACUCAUGUUCAUUAAGCUGUAGCUCCCACCACCAGUUUUUCUGCUGCAAAGUUGGACAAUGGUUUGCAGUUACAAUCAAGUUCCGUACCAGCAUGCGGCAUCGGUGACAUGAUGCCGAAGCAAUGGCACUAUCGCGGAUUUUUGGUAUAUAUCUAUUUCCAUAGAAGAUGCAUGUAUGUUGCAGCGGCUCGAGUUAUCAGAUGCAUGGAGACU
Molecule: long non-coding RNA, 1360 nt
Filed under: Triticum aestivum (bread wheat)
Lineage: Eukaryota; Viridiplantae; Streptophyta; Magnoliopsida; Poales; Poaceae
Description: long non-coding RNA (TAES_LNC026777)
Source: RNAcentral